Nomascus leucogenys (northern white-cheeked gibbon) is the source of this 331-nucleotide long non-coding RNA. RefSeq lists it as uncharacterized. NCBI's taxonomy places the organism in Eukaryota, Metazoa, Chordata, Mammalia, Primates, Hylobatidae. The record is from RefSeq and is a predicted model, not a curated record. The transcript is spliced from 3 exons.
GCAGCGGCCAGCGUCCUUGUCCUGCGGGGGCACUGCGUACAUCACUCGCCUUCAGAACACUGAGUCCUCCUACCUCCUGAUACCCUGCGGAUGGGAAGUCCCAGGCUGCCGUGGCUCCUGUGUGCUUUGAAGUUUUCUGGAUUUUUGUCAAACCUCCAGGGACCCUCAGCUGGAGAGGAUGGCAUGGGUGACACGCAGCUGGCCAGGGUGUGCGAUUCUGCUCUCAAGACCCCCUGGAGGCUCCCCCUCCCCCCGACCCCCAGCUCAUCUGUGAGAUGCUUGGAAGGGACUGCCUAUGCCUUCUUUCAGGAUAAAGCCUCAAGUCCUGCAA